Molecule: ribosomal RNA, 693 nt
Filed under: Cunninghamella bertholletiae
Lineage: Eukaryota; Fungi; Mucoromycota; Mucoromycetes; Mucorales; Cunninghamellaceae
Description: eukaryotic LSU rRNA
Rfam family: Eukaryotic large subunit ribosomal RNA
Source: RNAcentral
UAACAAUGAUUCCCCUAGUAACGGCGAGUGAAGAGGGAAAAGCUCAAAGUUGGAACCUGGUAGGCAUAGCUUACCCGGAUUGUAAACUAAAGUUUUCGAGUCGUUUAGUCAGCCAGGUAAAUAAGUCCUCUGGAAAGGGGCGACAUAGAGGGUGAAAUCCCCGUCUUUGGCCUGAGUUUUGAUUAGGCGUUUGGCUUGGAAACGAAGAGUCAGGUUGUUUGGGAAUGCAGCCUAAAAUGGGAGGUAAAUCUCUCCUAAAGCUAAAUAUUGACGAAAGACCGAUAGCGAACAAGUACCGUGAGGGAAAGAUGAAAAGCACUUUGAAAAGAGGGUCAAAAAGUACGUGAAAUUGCUGAAAGGGAACCGUAUGAAAUCAGACCUACUGGUAGGUAAUCAAUCUUUCCUUUGGGAAGGAUGCACUUGCCUACUAUGUAUGCCAGCGACAUUUUGGUUGGGAGGAAAAAAAUAAAGGAAAUGUAGCUUAGGUUUCGGCUUAGGUGUUAUAGUCCUUUAUAAAAUACUCUCGGCUGGAAUGAGGAACGCAGCAAACCGUAAGGCGAAGAUUUCAGGCGCUUAGAGGGAAUAAUUAGAGAAUUUCUGCUUCGGGUGGUGCUUUGAUUAUUACCUUUAACACGCUUGGAGUUCUUUUAAUUUGCUUAGGUUGUUGGCUUAAUGAUUUUAUAUGACCCGUCU